Molecule: ribosomal RNA, 253 nt
Filed under: uncultured bacterium
Lineage: Bacteria
Description: partial 16S ribosomal RNA
Rfam family: Bacterial small subunit ribosomal RNA
Source: RNAcentral
UACGGAGGGUGCAAGCGUUAUCCGGAUUCACUGGGUUUAAAGGGUGCGUAGGUGGGCUGGUAAGUCAGUGGUGAAAUCCCCAAGCUUAACUUGGGAACUGCCAUUGAUACUAUCAGUCUUGAAUACCGUGGAGGUUAGCGGAAUAUGUCAUGUAGCGGUGAAAUGCUUAGAUAUGACAUAGAACACCAAUUGCGAAGGCAGCUCACAAAACUAUAACUGACACUGAGGCUCGAAAGUGCGGGGAUCAAACAGG